CUGACUUCCUCGUUGGUCUCCUGCAGAUGCCACUUCUUCUCCUCCAAAACCAAGGCUGCUGGUUCUUGGGCGACAUCAUAUUCUGAAGCCUGGCUCCCGUGACGUGAGUGUGAUGUAAAAGGAGAGAGACUCUGAAGAAAAUAUUAAAUUCAAAUGUAUGAAAGCC
Solea senegalensis (Senegalese sole) is the source of this 166-nucleotide long non-coding RNA. RefSeq lists it as uncharacterized. Lineage: Eukaryota; Metazoa; Chordata; Actinopteri; Pleuronectiformes; Soleidae. The transcript is spliced from 2 exons. The record is from RefSeq and is a predicted model, not a curated record.